UCCUAAAGACUAAGCCAUGCAUGCCUAAGAAUAAGAGGAAGCAAUUCUCUCUGAAUCUGCGAACGGCUCCGCAAACCAGUUGUAAACUACAGCAAGCAAGCACGGGGGGUUGGCCUUCACGGGUUGGCCCCUCGGGCGAUAUGGAUAACCCUGGUAAUUCUGAGGCUAAUACAAGAACGUAACCCCUGGUUGACUGAGCCCUCGCUUUCGGGUGGGGAUACUUGGGAGGCUGGGAAGCGUGCGAGUACUAAUGCGAAUGAGAACCGGGAAUGGGCGCACGCUUGGACCGCGCUACAAAGGAUCAUUACUCGGCAAUCCCCUCUGGGGUGCGCUUUGUUUUGGCCCCAGCGGCUCUUGCGGUGUGCUUCUGACCUAUCAACUAGACGGCAGCGUAAUGGACAUGCUAUGGUUACAACGGGUACAGAGGAUUAGGGUUCGAUCCUGGAGAGUGGGCCUGAGAGAUUGCUCAUACUUCUAAGGAAGGCAGCAGGCGCGCAACGUUCCCCUUGGGCAAUGCUCGAGGGCGUUAGGGGACAUAUGGGUGUCUGCCCAAUGGGUGGACAAUUCAAAUGGGUUUGUUCUAAACAGCCUUUCGAGUAACAAUUAGAGGACAA
This 614-nucleotide ribosomal RNA is filed under the name Lamproderma echinosporum. RNAcentral describes it as "bacterial SSU rRNA". It matches the Rfam family "Eukaryotic small subunit ribosomal RNA", at positions 35 to 558 of the family's 1831-position model. The record is from RNAcentral. Lineage: Eukaryota; Evosea; Eumycetozoa; Stemonitida; Stemonitidae.